UACAGAGGUCUCAAGCGUUGUUCGGAUUCAUUGGGCGUAAAGGGCGCGUAGGCGGCGGGGUAAGUCGGGUGUGAAAUCUCAGAGCUCAACUCUGAAAUGGCACUUGAUACUGCUCUGCUAGAGGACUGGAGAGGAGAUUGGAAUUCACGGUGUAGCAGUGAAAUGCGUAGAUAUCGUGAGGAAGACCGGCGGCGAAGGCGGAUCUCUGGACAGUUCCUGACGCUGAGGCGCGAAGGCCAGGGGAGCAAACGGG
RNAcentral lists this ribosomal RNA (253 nucleotides) under uncultured bacterium. RNAcentral's name for it is "partial 16S ribosomal RNA". It matches the Rfam family "Bacterial small subunit ribosomal RNA", at positions 524 to 776 of the family's 1533-position model. The record is from RNAcentral.